RNAcentral lists this long non-coding RNA (309 nucleotides) under Rhinopithecus bieti (black snub-nosed monkey). RNAcentral's name for it is "lncRNA (ENSRBIG00000045334.1)". The record is from RNAcentral. Lineage: Eukaryota; Metazoa; Chordata; Mammalia; Primates; Cercopithecidae.
CCUUGGGAUUCCAAGGCCCAGGAGCACCUUGGAAUGAGAAGGGCUGUUCCAAGAAGGGCAUGUCCUCGAGUGAGGCGAGGUGACUCUCUGCAGCUGAGAAAGGCCCUGAAGGGUCUGCUGUCCAUCUUUCCUGCCGCUGGACAGCAAGUCUUCCUUUGAAGAGGGAUCUGGAAGGCUGUUGAAGAAUGUGUGUAUACUUCACAGAGUUGGUGGAUUUCUGGAGCAUCUCAAAAACAACUCAGCAUUGGAAAUCACAAGAGAAAUCAAUGACAGAGGCAGAGUCAAAUCAGAAUCAACAAAACUGUGAGG